Molecule: ribosomal RNA, 268 nt
Filed under: uncultured bacterium
Lineage: Bacteria
Description: partial 16S ribosomal RNA
Rfam family: Bacterial small subunit ribosomal RNA
Source: RNAcentral
UACGAAGGGGGCUAGCGUUGCUCGGAAUUACUGGCGUAAGAGCGACGUAGGCGGCUUCUUAAGUCGGUGGUGAAAUCCUGGAGCUCAACUCCAGAACUGCCUUCGAUACUGGGAGCUCGAGUCCGGGAGAGGUGAGUGGGAACUGCGAGUGUAGAGGUGAAAUUCGUAGAAUAUUCGCAAGAACACCAGUGGCGAAGGCGGCUCACUGGCCCGGUACUGACGCUGAGGUGCGAAAGCGUGGGGAGCAAACAGGGAUUAAGAUACCCCA